AACGAACGCUGGCGGCAUGCCUAACACAUGCAAGUCGAACGGGAUCCUAGCUUGCUAGGUGAGAGUGGCGGACGGGUGAGUAACACGUGGGAAUCUGCCUUUUUGGUUCGGGAUAACCGCGGGAAACUGCGGCUAAUACCGAAUGCCCUCGAGAGAGGAAAGAUUUAUCGCCAGAAGAGGAGCCCGCGUCCGAUUAGGUAGUUGGUGGGGUAAAGGCCUACCAAGCCGACGAUCGGUAGCUGGUCUGAGAGGAUGAUCAGCCACACUGGGACUGAGAUACGGCCCAGACUCCUACGGGAGGCAGCAGUGGGGAAUAUUGGACAAUGGGGGCAACCCUGAUCCAGCAAUGCCGCGUGAGUGAUGAAGGCCUUAGGGUUGUAAAGCUCUUUUGCCAGGGAAGAUGAUGACUGUACCUGGAGAAUAAGCCCCGGCUAACUUCGUGCCAGCAGCCACGGUAAU
This 459-nucleotide ribosomal RNA is filed under the name uncultured bacterium. Its description in RNAcentral is "bacterial SSU rRNA". It matches the Rfam family "Bacterial small subunit ribosomal RNA", at positions 29 to 524 of the family's 1533-position model. The record is from RNAcentral.